Long non-coding RNA from Macaca nemestrina (pig-tailed macaque), 1814 nucleotides. The record is from Ensembl. NCBI's taxonomy places the organism in Eukaryota, Metazoa, Chordata, Mammalia, Primates, Cercopithecidae.
GAUCAGGGGGAGGUUCUCUAGCUUCUAAAGGUGCCUUCUGCUGCUAAGAUUCUGCAGCUUCAGGCUCUUUAUUGUAUUUUUGUUCAGUAAGUUUUUAAAAAUUUUUUUUAAAAGUCCGUUUGCUACUGUAGUACAUUUAAACAUCAGCAGAUGGGGCCCUUGAUUCCUGAGAAGAAUGCCAGGGCUUGAAUUUUGUUCAUGUCUGUGGUCUGCGUGAAUUUUUCUUGUUGCUUUUACAGCAUGUUAAAUUUGUACUCUUUAUAGUUCACAAACCUUUAUAUAAUCAAGAAAAAUAAAACUCACUAAUGGCAAGAAAACCUUUUUUUUCCUCUUCUGCUGUUCUAUAGAGAUAAGUUAGAUCUGUUUACAAAUAGAAAAAUGAGACUAACAUAAUACUCAGACAACAUGAUUCUGAAACAGCAACAGAAGUCAAUGUUGUAAUUAAUCUGUUGUCCGUAACUCACGAAGCUGUGUGGGAGGCUUUUGCUGCAUGGGACCACAGGUGACAGUUUGGUUGCAUCCAAGGUUACUCUGAUUCUGGAUUGUUUUCCCUCCUCUCUCCUGAAUUUCAUUUUAUGAGGACAUUGUGUGAAUUGGAUGGUUUUUAGCACUUGCCAAUGAUUAUUAUUUUUUUAAGUGAUGUUUGUCGAUAGUCCAUAAAGGGAACAACUGGUCAUCUGGUCCUUGCACCUGUUCAAGUGGACCUGCAUACUUUCGAUUACUUUUGUCUUCCUCUGACAACCUGGUCAAAAGUUGAUGAUGCCUUCCCAUCUGGAUUGAUUUCUCAGUUCUCAAGUCUAUACAGCACCCUGCCUCCCACCCUACAUUGCCUAUGGGCCCUUUAACAGAUGACUACAGACACAGUGAAAGAGAGACAGAAUCAGCAGAGGAAUUAUCCCUGCACAGUCAAUAGAAUUCCAGAAUGGGUAAACAAGAAGAAAGAGUGCAACAAUUCCUUGAAAUUUGCUGAAUUCUCAAAUGGAUAAACACAUUUGAAGGAGACAAAAGAAGACAGGAGCCUUGACCAGGAUGCAGGCAGAUGAAACUGGUAUGUUUUUAUCAUGAAUUUAUGAAGGUAAAGAUGUUCUCAUAAAAAAAAAAAAACAACGUCAGUUUUGUUUUUUAAGACAAGAAGAGGUCUUGCUCAUGAAAGGCCAAACUAUUGGGUAUACUAUUGUGGGUUGUGUUUUGUGUAUGUGUCUGCACAUGUGCACGUGUGUAUUUUCAGUCUAUCCAUACGUGUAGCUCAUAUUACUGUUACUGAGGACAUGCCAUUUGACAGAGAAAUGUAGCUCCAUGUAAUUGAAUGUGGAAUAGACGUUCUGUGAAAACGAGUUUUAAUUGUUACAUGAUACAUAUAAUAUCAGCAGAUAUUUAUUCUGGUUAGUAGUAAUUGAAAUUGAAUUAAAAAAUCCAAGUAUAAAGCAAUUAUUGUCCCUUCUUAGAGUUCCUUCUUAAAAGAUUGUUGUUUUAAGAUUUUAUCUACAAGGGUUUUGGAUGUUACAUUUCAAAAAUAGAAAAAUAAAAGGAGUACCAGGUCUUUCUUAAAAACCUCGGGGUGGGAGUGAAUGCCCAUGUGUAGAUAUUCAGUUGUUUGUAGCCUUGUUAGGCCCUCGUGCUUCAUUAAAUACACCUAAAAAGAAAACAACUUAUAUUUGGGCUUCAGUAGGUUGCAGGAGGACACACACAUGACUAAAGUCAGAAGCCAUUUUUAAUCACUGAUUUGCUCCCCUUACAAAACAAAAAGGACGAGCGCCCUCGGCUAUGUAAAACCUUUAGUCACUAGUCUGCCAAAAAUGUAAAUAUUUUAAAAA